GUCCACGUGCCUGCACAAGACGCGUGUUCCAUUUGAACCAGCAAAAUGGAGAAAACCGAAACCGGCAUGUAGCUAGCGUACGAACGGGGAAGAAUAUUUCAACUUCCACGAAGCGACACUUGGCAAUGGGCACGAUCCGCCCGCGUAUGGGAGCGCGAUCCGGGGAACGGUGGGCCCAUCUCGCUGCGAGUCAAUGAUGGUUUAUCACUACGCUACGGACAGCACCGAUG
RNAcentral lists this long non-coding RNA (230 nucleotides) under Setaria italica (foxtail millet). RNAcentral's name for it is "long non-coding RNA (SITA_LNC003967)". Lineage: Eukaryota; Viridiplantae; Streptophyta; Magnoliopsida; Poales; Poaceae. The record is from RNAcentral.